Molecule: long non-coding RNA, 1265 nt
Filed under: Cricetulus griseus (Chinese hamster)
Lineage: Eukaryota; Metazoa; Chordata; Mammalia; Rodentia; Cricetidae
Description: lncRNA (ENSCGRG00015041837.1)
Source: RNAcentral
CUUAGUUAGAGUUUCUGUUGCUGUGAUGAAACACCAUAACAAAAAGGCAAGUUGGGGAGGAAAGGGUUUGUUUAUUCAGCAUUGCUGUUUAUCACUGAAGGAUGUCAGGACAGGAACUCAAAACAGGGAAGGAUCCCCGAGACAGGAGCUGAUGCAGAGGCCAUAGAGAGAAGCUGCUUAUGGGCUUGCUUCCCCUGGUUUGCUCAGACUACCUUCUUUUAGAACUCUGGACCAAUAGCCUUACACCACACAUCAUGGGCUGGAACCUCUCCCAUUGAUCACUAAAUGAGAAAGUGCCUUACAGCUGGAUUUCAUUGAGGCAUUUCCUCAACUAAGGCUCCUUCUUCUGAUGAUUCUAACUUGUGUCAGGUUGACACAUAAAACCACCUAGUACACAGGGGCUCCCCAUAUCUUUGAGGAUCACACGGAGCACUGUGGCAGAGGGGUCCCUUGCAUUGACUAUCUGGCUUUAUUCUAUUCCUUCCCUGUGUGCCCUGCUCUAUGUAAUCCCUAUACACAAACCCUUGCUUCUGGUGACUCUUUCUCCCUCACUCCCAUUAGUCUAGAACCUUCUCCUUGGCUUUUCUUUCUCCCACUUCAGGCAGUACACUACUAGGCAGUAUAUCUGAUCCAAAGGGCUUGAUAAUGAAGUCUGUGAGCUCUUUCUGGAGGCACUGCAAACCCCACACAGAACCUACCUGGGUACCUUCAUUAGCCAUAGGCCCAGAGUAGAUUUUAACUCUUAGCUUUCCACCAGCAUUUAGUUGCUCACCUUUUGUGGACACGGUGGUACAACCCUUCAAUCCUACCACUUGGGAGGCAGAGUCAGGCAGAUUUUUGAGUUUGAGGAUAGCUUGGUCUACAUACCAAGUUCCAGGCCAUCCAGCGCUAUAGUGAGACCCCGCACCAAAAAAGGAUCUACCCUUGUGGGCUUGAAACCUGAUCCUGUCAGCCUCAAACUAAACACACAAGACUGAUUCAUACAUUCAUGGAACAUGAACACUGUUUGCACUCCCAGGGCAGGAACUGAUGGUGAACUGAUCAAGGACCUUGUUCUGAAUUCUGGACAGUCCUGAACCUAGUUCCUGAGUGCUGGGAGUAAAGGGGAUGGGACCAUCCAAGUUCUAAGAAGCCCCUAGAGAAUAAGCUAGAUCACCAUAGCUAGUCUGAGUUGGGGGCAAGCAAAAUGAAGAGGACCAGAGAAAAGAACACAUUAAUCCAAACUCCAAAGAAAUAAUGCUGCUAAGCGCCAUGGUCCCAGAUGC